UCUGAAAUCAAGUGGGGAUUACCCGCUGAACCUUAAGCAU
Molecule: ribosomal RNA, 40 nt
Filed under: Pilobolus kleinii
Lineage: Eukaryota; Fungi; Mucoromycota; Mucoromycetes; Mucorales; Pilobolaceae
Description: partial 28S ribosomal RNA
Source: RNAcentral